CGGUCCGUAGCUCAGCUGGUAGAGCACGNNGGUCGAGGGUUCGAUCCCCUCCGGACCGACAA
Molecule: transfer RNA, 62 nt
Filed under: Bacteroidales bacterium
Lineage: Bacteria; Pseudomonadati; Bacteroidota; Bacteroidia; Bacteroidales
Description: tRNA-Ser
Rfam family: tRNA
About the family: Transfer RNA (tRNA) molecules are approximately 80 nucleotides in length.
Source: RNAcentral